This 644-nucleotide ribosomal RNA is filed under the name uncultured bacterium. Its description in RNAcentral is "bacterial SSU rRNA". It matches the Rfam family "Bacterial small subunit ribosomal RNA", at positions 202 to 842 of the family's 1533-position model. The record is from RNAcentral.
UAAAGGAAGCGAUUCCGGCUACGGAUGGUCAUGCGUCGCAUUAGCUUGUUGGCGGGGUAACGGCCCACCAAGGCGACGAUGCGUAGGGGUUCUGAGAGGAAGGUCCCCCACACUGGUACUGAGACACGGACCAGACUCCUACGGGAGGCAGCAGUGAGGAAUAUUGGUCAAUGGCCGCAGGGCUGAACCAGCCAAGUCGCGUGAGGGAUGACGGUCCUAUGGAUUGUAAACCUCUUUUGUCAGGGAGCAAAGGGCGCCACGUGUGGCGUUUUGCGAGUACCUGAAGAAAAAGCAUCGGCUAACUCCGUGCCAGCAGCCGCGGUAAUACGGAGGAUGCGAGCGUUAUCCGGAUUUAUUGGGUUUAAAGGGUGCGCAGGCGGAAUGUCAAGUCAGCGGUAAAAUUUCGGGGCUCAACCCCGUCGUGCCGUUGAAACUGGCGUUCUUGAGUGAGCGAGAAGUAUGCGGAAUGCGUGGUGUAGCGGUGAAAUGCAUAGAUAUCACGCAGAACUCCGAUUGCGAAGGCAGCAUAUCGGCGCUCAACUGACGCUCAUGCACGAAAGCGUGGGUAUCGAACAGGAUUAGAUACCCUGGUAGUCCACGCAGUAAACGAUGAAUACUAACUGUCCGGGCAGAAUGAUGCCUGG